AGCAGCAGCCGCGGUAAUACAGAGGGUGCGAGCGUUAAUCGGAUUUACUGGGCGUAAAGCGUGCGUAGGCGGCUUCUUAAGUCGGAUGUGAAAUCCCUGAGCUUAACUUAGGAAUUGCAUUCGAUACUGGGAAGCUAGAGUAUGGGAGAGGAUGGUAGAAUUCCAGGUGUAGCGGUGAAAUGCGUAGAGAUCUGGAGGAAUACCGAUGGCGAAGGCAGCCAUCUGGCCUAAUACUGACGCUGAGGUACGAAAGCAUGGGGAGCAAACAGGAUUAGAUACCCCGGUAGUCCCUGUCUCUUAUAA
RNAcentral lists this ribosomal RNA (303 nucleotides) under uncultured bacterium. RNAcentral describes it as "partial 16S ribosomal RNA". It matches the Rfam family "Bacterial small subunit ribosomal RNA", at positions 507 to 809 of the family's 1533-position model. The record is from RNAcentral.